This 302-nucleotide unclassified non-coding RNA is filed under the name air metagenome. Its description in RNAcentral is "partial contains small subunit ribosomal RNA, internal transcribed spacer 1, and 5.8S ribosomal RNA". The stretch from base 1 to 46 matches the Rfam family "Eukaryotic small subunit ribosomal RNA", at positions 1786 to 1831 of the family's 1831-position model. The record is from RNAcentral.
AAGUCGUAACAAGGUUUCCGUAGGUGAACCUGCGGAAGGAUCAUUGUUGAAUAGUUCGUGGUGCUGUGCUGGCCUUUCGGGGCAUGUGCACGCAUUGCAAUUAUUUCAUUAUCUUUUUGUGAACCAGUGUAGGCUUGGACCUUUGUCGGUGGAAGCUCUUGUUGAGCGAUAACGCCGUUCGUAGGACCCAAGUCUAUGAUUUUAUAUAAACCUUUGUAUGUUUUUGAAUGUCUUUGCUUUAUUGGCCGAAAGGCUAGUAAAAAAAAUCUAUACAACUUUCAGCAACGGAUCUCUUGGCUCUC